Molecule: transfer RNA, 77 nt
Filed under: Candidatus Woesebacteria bacterium
Lineage: Bacteria; Candidatus Woeseibacteriota
Description: tRNA-Val
Rfam family: tRNA
About the family: Transfer RNA (tRNA) molecules are approximately 80 nucleotides in length.
Source: RNAcentral
GGCUGUUUAGCUCAGCUGGCUAGAGCGUUCGAUUCACAUUCGAAAGGUCGGGGGUUCAAGUCCCUCAACAGCCACCA